Molecule: unclassified non-coding RNA, 314 nt
Filed under: Ixodes scapularis (black-legged tick)
Lineage: Eukaryota; Metazoa; Arthropoda; Arachnida; Ixodida; Ixodidae
Description: uncharacterized LOC115310508, transcript variant X3
Source: RNAcentral
UUUACCCUGGGAGCAUACGAAGCACCAAUAUGCGUCCCGGUCUCCGGCGGUCGGAUGUUGAUGUGAGCCCCCCCAACGUCAGCACGGUGAUGUGCGACGCGAGUGAGCCUUUCUACUUUUUGGCGGAGACCCCUUUUCGCCAGCAAGUGUCUCGGUGUCUCCGUGAAGCAUCGAAGAGUAGCUACAGCCCUCUUCGGCGAGCUGAACGGGCUGCCGAGCUUUCGAAGGCCGAUCUCCCGCAGCGCUGGCACCCGGAGAACCGCGCCAUGGCGCUCGCUGGGAAUCCACCGGCUGCCGGGCUACUGAAAGGACCC